AUGUCUGAGGCAUCCGCUGAUACAAAUACAGAAGAACCCAGUGAUGAAAAUACAGGAAAUGAUCAAACAAACUCAGAAAUUGACCAAGAGUUGGGUGCAUCUAGCAUUUUUCAGCCUCCUGACGAUCCUCAUGACGAUUCUGCUCUGGAUUCUGCCUCAGAUCAGGAGCAAACAUUCUCCCUGCAGCAGACUGAUAUGUCCAGCGAUGCCACAUUGCAUCACCCGGCAUCCAAUGGGCCGACCGCGUCCCGCUCGCCCAUGCGUUCCUCUGCGCGCGAAUCAAGUGUCUCCAUGUCAUCAGACAUGACACCUCGGGGUUCUCCCUCCUCCGGGUCUUCGACAUCACGUGGUGGCCACACUGCUACACCCGGAUCCCUUGCUCCAAGCGGAUCUGAUUCGGUGUCUGACAACAGCAGCCCAACAGGAUCUUUCGUGCCACCGAGCCCUGCAACGCCUCCUGUUGCUACACAAGAUCUUCCUAUUGCUGCUCGCAACCGUCUAAAAAAAGGAAUACGCCAACCAAGAAUAUUUACCGAUGGUACUGUUCGUUAUGGAAAGCUUACUAUUACAGGAGAACCACAAAAUCUUUCUGAGGCAAUUCGUGAUAAAAAUCGGCAUCAUGCUAUGAAAGAAGAAUAUCAGGCACUUAUGCAUAACAAAACUUGGCACCUUGUACCCUCUAGUUCUAACAAGAACUUGAUUGAUUGCAAAUGGGUCUACCGCAUCAAGAAAAAGUCAGAUGGUACAGUUGACAGGUAUAAAGCCCGCCUUGUUGCAAAAGGUUUCAAACAACGUUAUGGUAUUGACUAUGAGGAAACUUUUAGUCCUGUUGUCAAAGCAGCUACUAUACGUCUUGUGUUGGCUAUUUCAAUCUCUCGUGGUUGGAGCUUACGACAGUUAGACGUGAAGAAAGCGUUUUUACAUGGUGUUCUGGAAGAGGAAGUCUAUAUGAAACAACCUCCUGGUUUUGAAGAUCCUCGAGCUCCACAUCAUGUUUGCAGACUUGACAAAGCUCUCUAUGGUUUAAAACAAGCUCCUCGUGCAUGGUACUCUCGGCUUAGCUCUAAACUUCACAGUCUUGGCUUUAUAUCAUCCAAAGCAGAUACAUCCUUGUUUCUCUACAACAAGUCAGGCAUCACUAUUUUUAUGUUGAUAUAUGUGGAUGAUAUUAUUGUGACCAGUUCCUCAGACCAGGCGAUCUCUGCUCUAUUAAAAGAUUUAAGCCAAGAUUUUGCUCUCAAAGAUUUAGGUGAUCUUCACUUCUUUUUGGGCAUGGAAGUCAAGAAAGUUCAUGGUACAUUGGUCUUAACACAAGAAAAAUAUGUCGCUGACUUUCUUAAAAGAGUGGGCAUGAAUAAUUGUACACCAUGUCCUACACCAUUAUCUUCUUUAGAAAAAUUGUCACUUACAGAUGGCACACCUCUUGGUCCUGAUGAUAGUACACACUAUAGAAGUAUUAUUGGUGCUUUGCAAUAUUUAACCCUCACACGGCCUGAUCUAUCUUUUUCAGUCAAUAAAGUUUGUCAAUUUCUUCAUGCACCUACAACAACUCAUUGA
RNAcentral lists this ribosomal RNA (1557 nucleotides) under Triticum aestivum (bread wheat). RNAcentral's name for it is "partial small subunit ribosomal RNA". The record is from RNAcentral. Lineage: Eukaryota; Viridiplantae; Streptophyta; Magnoliopsida; Poales; Poaceae.